AAAAAAUUUUUGCGUAAGUAAAUUAACCACGGAAUUUUAAAGCGCAAUCAAAGGAAUUCGAGGAUGAAUUAAAUAAAAAGUUGAAAUAGAAUCACCGAAUGAAUCGUCAAUUAUUUUUCAACUUCAAUAGGAAUUCCUCGGGCUAACCGAUAUCAAAUAAAGUGCAUUAAACUAUAUCAUGGCAUUUAUCUUCAGUAUAAAUCAUUUAAUUGACACUUGUUGAAAAAUAAGUACAUAACAAUCUAAUAUAAUUAUCAAAAAUUAUUUCCUUUUCGCUAUCGUGUUACAUUGUAUGUACACCAUUUCCGGUAACCUGAAAAGAAUUUAUCUUAUCGUUCCACCGAGUCAUAGACUGAGAAUGAGUUUAUUUGAUUUUUUUAAUUAUUUCUGAAAAUAGACGGUAAGAAUAUUUUUUUUUCAACAAAAAUUA
Molecule: long non-coding RNA, 430 nt
Organism: Cotesia glomerata
Lineage: Eukaryota; Metazoa; Arthropoda; Insecta; Hymenoptera; Braconidae
Exons: 3
Source: RefSeq, a predicted model, not a curated record